This 460-nucleotide ribosomal RNA is filed under the name uncultured bacterium. RNAcentral describes it as "partial 16S ribosomal RNA". It matches the Rfam family "Bacterial small subunit ribosomal RNA", at positions 338 to 795 of the family's 1533-position model. The record is from RNAcentral.
CCUACGGGUGGCAGCAGUGAGGAAUAUUGGUCAAUGGACGCAAGUCUGAACCAGCCAUGCCGCGUGCAGGACGACGGCCCUAUGAGUUGUAAACUGCUUUUGUACGAGGGUAAAUCCCGAUACGUAUAUCGGGUUGAAAGUACCGUACGAAUAAGGACCGGCUAACUCCGAGCCAGCAGCCGCGGUAAUACGGAGGAUUCAAGCGUUAUCAGGAUUUAUUGGGCUUAAAGGGAGCGUAGGCGGUUCGAUAAGAUAGAGGUGAAAUCCCGGGGUUCAACUCCGGCACUGCCGCUGAUACUGUCGGGCUAGAGUUUAGUUGAGGUGGGCAGAAUGCAUGGGGUAGCGGUGAAAUGCAUAGAGAUCAUAAAGAACACCGAUUGAGGAGGCAGCUUACCAAACUGAGACUGACGUUGAGGCGCGAAAGCGUGGGGAGCAAACAGGAUUAGAUACCCAGGUAGUC